Molecule: non-coding RNA, 5581 nt
Organism: Lactuca sativa (garden lettuce)
Lineage: Eukaryota; Viridiplantae; Streptophyta; Magnoliopsida; Asterales; Asteraceae
Source: RefSeq, a predicted model, not a curated record
GCCCAGUAUGUGUUGUAUGUGAUUUUGCAUGGUAUGUGGUAAGGUGGGGAACUCACUAAGCUUUGUGCUUACGGUUUUCAGUUUUGCUUUCAGGUACUUCCGGUAGCGGAGGGAGGAGCUCGGGGUGAUCGCAUGGCACACACCAUAGAGUAGUCAGCCUGGGAAUGUUUACUCUGAUAAUAAACAUGUGUUUUGGAAACUUAUACUCAGAUUAUGUUUUGGAAUGAUGUUUUGUUUAAAGUAAUGUUUUAUUAAAAAGAAAUUUUUGGUCUUAAAUUUUGGGAUGUUUCACUAAAAAUGACAAACAAAAUAUAGUUUCGAUAUAUAUUGUGUAAAUGUACAAAAUGUGUUUCUAAAUUUAUUAGGUAUUUAAUGCAUGUAAAGGUUUCAUAAGUUGAUACUAAAAUUCUUAUUGCAUGGCAAUGACCUAAUCGGGAUCCCCUAAAGCUUAAUUCACAGUUUUAGGUUCUAUGAAUAAAAGAAAGGAAUCAAAGCACAAAGGAUACGGAUUUCGGAUCCAAUGAUUCUUUGGUUUCGGUUUCAUAUAAUUUGGUCUAAGAAAUGUCUUCUCAUGGGUCACUACUACAUAACCAAAAAUAAACUACGGCACAUAUAAUAUGGGUUAUAGAGUAAUUCGUAUUAUAUAAUAUUAGAUGGCUUAGAAAAGAUUUAGUAUACGGUUUUAUGAGAAAAACAACUGUACUCUAUGUGGUGUAGUACAUGAAAAGGGAAAUAGAAUACGCUGGAACAUGCUUUGUCAUUUAUAGCUGUAUUUUAUAUAUAACCUGAUAAAUACUCUUAUAUUUAAAAUCUAAUACCUAAUUUAGGCACCGUUAUAGUUGGUCCACAUCCAUAUUCAUCUUUCUUUCAAAAAAAACAUAUGAAAAAUCGACCUCUGUUUUUCAUAUCUUUGCUUUGAGGUUUUGGAGACGGUGGCAUUCAUUCCGAUUUCUGAAGCAUACAUAGUGAUGAUCUUCAUCUGAAGACAAACUGUCCAAGUUUCUUCCGACCUUGGUAUCAGGGUAGUUACCCAUCAACAAACUUUAGAACGAUAUUCUUCAAGUUAUUUUCUCCGACUACAAGAUGGAUCGUGAUACUUGGAUGUAUGGAUUACAACGUCAUGACAAAGAAGACCUAAUUAGGUUGAAAGAUUUCCUUAAAGCUGUUGAGGGUCAUCGAGUAAAAAAAGGAGAAAGUCAAAUUUGGUGUCCUUGUAUCUCUACGUUACAUGUACCCAUUCGAGAGAUAUAUGGGUUUUCUUAAGGGGUAUGUAAGGAAUCAUCAUCGACCCGAAGCCAGUGAUGUUGAAGGAUAUGCUUCAGAGGAGGUUAUUGAAUUUUGUAAAAAUUAUCUACAAGGUGUCCUAAGUAUUGGAAUACCACGAUCACGACAUGAAGGUAGACUUGAAGGGGUUGGUAUAAUUGGGUUGAAAGUUGUUAUUCCUGAUCGAAAUGAAUUCCAUCUAGCACAUUUUACAGUCUUACAACACAUGACAGUUGUUGCUGCAUACAUAAAUGAGCACAUGGAAACAUUAAGAGCGACCCAGAAUAGAAGGACACAAAAAUGGUUCGCUAACAAGCAUUUGGGAACAUUUCCACAAUGGUUCAAAAACAAGGUGAAAGAUGUUGGAUUAGGUUUCAAGUUCAUAACUAUAAAUGAGAUGUACUUGAUCCGAUAGUAGCAUGGUCCUUUUGGGUUGCCUUCACACUGGUGACUAGACAGGAUGAUUGUUGAGGAAAGAGGCUGAUUUAUUAUUAAGAAUAAUAAAUUAGGGCAUAAAUAUUAUUUAUUAAUAUAUUACAUGAAUAAUAUAUUAUUAAUUUGGAAUCAUAUUAUUAAUUAGUAUUUACUCAUAUAUUAAUUUGGAAUUAAUAUUAAAGGAACUGAUUAAAAGUACAGGGGUUGUUUUGUAAUUAUUUGAUAGUUGAGGCUUUGGGCCAUUGGAUCACCCUUGUUAGGGCUAGGCUGAAAAUCCUAGAAGGAUCUAGGUGUUUUCGUCCAAGGCCUAAUGCAAGGAGGUCCAUAGACUUGCUUAGGCCCUAAGCUAAGGGAUUAGGGUUUCCACCCUGAAACCCUAGUUGACCUCAAGUAUAAAUAGACCCCCUAGGCUUAAGAAUUCUCCCCACCCCUUGAGAAACCCUAGAAGAGUCGAUUUCUAGAGCUAGUUACAUUCUUUCCUCUCUCUCAUAUUCAUCCUUUCACUCUUGUGUGUUUGUGAGCCAUUAGAGGCACUACAUUUGUGGUACUUGUUCUCAAGAGCAAAGGAACUUCAAGAUUUAGUUGUUAUUACUAUAUAGCAACAAAGGUAUGUAUUCUAAUCCUUUUUUUUGUGAUUUUCGAAAUAUUAGAUGCAUGCUAGGGUUUCUUUUUGUGUUCAUUUGUUAUAGGCCUAAUACUGAAAACAUAGAUCCAAAUUAGGGUUGCAUGCACACAUAAGAUUGUUUGUAUAAAACCCAACAAAAGAAAGUUUAGGCACAACCAAUGUUGAUCCAUUAGUGAACCUAUUGGGGUAUGGUCCACAAAUUUUUAGGACGAUAUGUGGUUUAGGAAUAGAUUACUUUAAUGGAAUCAAUGAGGAUCUAUGGUGUCCAAUAAAGAUUGGACCAUAUCGAGAAAAUGUUGUUGAAGCAGUCGGAACGGCAGCUCAAAACGAAAAUGUUACAAUUGAUCAAUUAAAGAAAGAAACGAAUGGAAAGAGCUGUAUUCAUGAACUGUGAGGAGCUUUACCUCCAGUCGCUUACAACUAUAUAUGUGGUUGUAAAACAGAAAAAGGAGAUUUGGAACACUCUGAAAAAUGAAUUUCAAGGCAACGAACGAACCAAAAAAAUCUUAGUGACUCAUUGUUUGUCUGAAUUGUCUGAAUUCAAUAACUAAGAGAUGGAGUCAAUUGAAGCAUAUUAUGAUUGAUUCAACGAUCUGAUUUACAAAUGCUCAAGUUACAAUGUUGUCUGUACAAUUUUAGAGUUCAACAUCACAUUCAUUUUAGGCUUGAGGAAGGAAUGGAAAAACAUUAGUAUUAUGAUCAAAAUUCAAGUGAAUUUUGAUUCAUGCUCUCUAUGAAACAUUUACAGCAUCUUGAAAGCACAUGAAGUUGAAGUGAAAGAAAUCAUAUAUGAGAAGGACAAAACUAGUUUUGGUGGUCCUUUAGCUUUGUUUCUAAAACCAACAUUAAUGAUGCUUGUUCUGAUGUCGAAGACGGUGAAGAUGGAUAAGGGUUGAUUAUGAAUUAUGAUGAUGAGGUUGUGGCUUACCAUUCCAAUAAUAAUGCCAAAACGUUUUACAAGAAGCCUAUAACGCUCGCGUUUCCAGGCUAGGCAUUUUCGUUGAUGUAAUAGUCUAGGUUAACCCAUAUAACUCUUUUAAAGUAUUAAUGAUGAAAUAUUUGAGUAUUAUGUGAAUUAUGUGAAUCAUGUGUUUAUUUUCUUAAUUAUUAUAAUUUAAUGAAUUAAGAAUAAAAUAAGCGUCAAAAUUAAAGUAUGAGCUAAGCCCGAUAUCUUUGCAUAAAGAUGUAGUGGUCGAAACGAGGUUUCCGAAUAUAUAAAGAAUGCCGAAAUCCGAGUUAUAACGAAUAAGUUAUGACCUGUCGAAGUUUCGCGACAGAAUUGACAACUCUAGAUGACGUAAAAAGUGAAAUUUACGUUAGUGCAAUAUUUAGCCUUAUUUAUCUAAACGAAAUUCGUAGAGUUUGUUAAACCGAGAGCAUGCAUAAAAAGAACGCCCAAAUCUGACUUCGUAUGAGGAAGUUAUGAUUUUCUGAAGUUUCAACUUGGCAGUAUGCAGCCUGAAUCCUUGAUUUGAGAUCGAGCGGUUUAUAUCCGAAACAAUCUAAAUGGGAAUUGAAGAUCUCGUUGUUAGUAGCGAAACGAUGAAAAGUUAGGCGAGAACGGACGUCGGACGAAUAAGUUAUGAUUUUAUAACGAAGUUUUCCUGUCCGGGCAUGGAUAUAAAUAAUAAAAAUAAAGUCAAAAUUAGCCGACGGGGUCCAAACGAAAGUUGUAGAGCGUAGUCUCACCUACGCAUGGAUAUAAAGAACGUCGAAAACGGAGCUUGUAUGCAAAAGUUACGCAAUUUAAAAGUUUGACCAGUCAAAUUACACCGAGCGUAAUUUGAGUACGCCCAGCGUACUCAGAAGGGUGCAAGUUGUCUGACCAAUACUCGAGUGCCACCAAUUGACGCAUGCAGUGACGUCAAAGUACGCCCAACGUAACCAAGUUACGCCCAGCGUAAUCCCAGACCCCCAACUUAUAAAUAGAAACCGAGAUCAGCCAUUUUCUCUUGUUCAAACUCUUUCUUCUCUCUAGUUUUUGCCUCGAUUUGUGUGCCAAUCAUAUCCCGAAGCCCCGGUAUCAUUCCCGAGCCCCGAAGCAAGAUCCGAAGUCCCGAGGAUCCCGAAGAGCGUUAUUCCCGAGCCGAAGCCCUGCCCGCGAGGAGCCCGGUUUUUGUGAAAAUCUUCCAGAUCUACGAAGAAACACUACUUCUGCAAGCCGUAGUGUUGUCCAAUCAUCUUUUGAUCAAGUGAGUGUGUAGUUACUUUCUUCCAACACAUUAUUAUGAAGUAUUUUAUAUAAAAUACGUGCUAUGUGUAUAUAUUUUGUUGUUAUAUGUGUGAAUAUAUAUCCACUCUCUUCUAGCUCAUAGAUCUGAUUUAUUCUCUAUGAAAUACGUGUUAUGUGUGUGUGCCUCAUCUGUUAUGUGGAAUAUGUAUUGAUUAAAUCAUGCUAUAUAGGUUUUAAACUAUGUAUAAAAAUGUAUAUUUUUAUCUACUAAUAUGUUGGGUAGAACUUGGAUAGAUAGCUGGUGUGUAAUAAACAGAUGAGAGGCCUCGAUGUUGUUUUGAUUUAGUCAUCUAGCGGAGUUUAGAUGACGACCACGGACUUUUCUAGACAGUCUUGUGGAACACUAGCAGGCUCGCCACCUGUAGGUGUUAAUGAACUUGGGUGUUCAUUCGCUGUACUUCAUCCCCCUCAUGGUUGCCUUAUUUGACUUAUAUUGCUGAGGAACCCCCGAAGCAUAUGUUGUCGCCCCAAUGAAAUAUUCUUAGACUAGGUCCCUUGUGUUAGUUGUUUUAGGGACAUAAAGUGAGAAUAACGGGAAUGGGUAAUUGGGUUAUUGUUGGUUGAUGAAAAUAAAGUUAAUUACUUAUUGUGGGUUGAAAACCCUAUAUGCUCACCAGGCUCCCAAGCCUGACCCACUCAGUUUAUUUGUAUUACAGGAAGUGGCGCAAGGGCAUAAGAUGGAUGAAUCAUCAAGUUGUUUUUUUUACAAGUUUUUAUAUGUAUAUAUUUGUUGAAUGACUUGUUGUAACGACCCAAAAAUCACGACUAAAAAUUUCGUUAAAAACAUUACUAAAUCAUAUUUAUAAAAUUUGUAUCAUAAGUCAUAACAUAAUUUUCGAGUAUUAAUUCAAAACAUAUUAUCAUUAUCAGAGUCAAACAUCCCCAGGUUAACUGACUAUGGUGUGUGCACUGCAAUCUUCCCGAGCUCCUCCUUUGAAAAACUGAGUACCUGAAACCAAAACUGAAAACCGUUAGCACGAAGCUUAGUGAGCUCCCCCAAUCUACCACAUACCAUGCAAUAACAU